GUACGCUGGCGGCACGCCUAACACAUGCAAGUCGAACGAAGUGCAAUACUUAGUGGCAGACGGGUGAGUAACAUGUAGGUAUCUGCCCUUUGGCCUGGAAUAACACGAGGAAACUUGUGCUAAUACCGGAUAAGUCUUUACGGAGAAAGCUUUAUGCACCAUUGGAUGAGCCUGCACUUGAUUAGUUUGUUGGUGGGGUAAUGGCCUACCAAGACUGUGAUCAAUAGCUGAUUUGAGAGGAUGAUCAGCCACAUUGGGACUGAGACACGGCCCAAACUCCUACGGGAGGCAGCAGUGGGGAAUCUUGCACAAUGGAGGAAACUCUGAUGCAGCGAUGCCGCGUGAGUGAAGAAGGCCCUUGGGUUGUAAAGCUCUUUCGUCGGGGAAGACAAUGACUGUACCCGAAUAAGAAGGUCCGG
This 419-nucleotide ribosomal RNA is filed under the name uncultured bacterium. Its description in RNAcentral is "bacterial SSU rRNA". It matches the Rfam family "Bacterial small subunit ribosomal RNA", at positions 31 to 496 of the family's 1533-position model. The record is from RNAcentral.